CAGUGCUGCUUGAAAGUUUGUGAACUAGUUGAGUAGUUUAGAUUUUUCUUUAUUUUUACCAUGAUUUUCUUAUUUUUUCAUCACCAGUUUUUAAAUAAAAUAUGAAAUG
Poecilia latipinna (sailfin molly) is the source of this 109-nucleotide long non-coding RNA. RefSeq lists it as uncharacterized. The record is from RefSeq and is a predicted model, not a curated record. The transcript is spliced from 3 exons. Lineage: Eukaryota; Metazoa; Chordata; Actinopteri; Cyprinodontiformes; Poeciliidae.